Long non-coding RNA from Alexandromys fortis (reed vole), 1603 nucleotides. RefSeq lists it as uncharacterized. The record is from RefSeq and is a predicted model, not a curated record. The transcript is spliced from 3 exons. NCBI's taxonomy places the organism in Eukaryota, Metazoa, Chordata, Mammalia, Rodentia, Cricetidae.
AGGCUCCCGGAAUGAUACAAGGCCACUGGAGUUUCCAGCAAAAGAUGUACUCAAAUUUGCUUUGGGAGAUGUCUAGUCAGCAACCAUGUUCCCAGACAAGAGGGUUGAACUCCAGCCCUGAGGUGAAUCAGACAAGGGCAGUGACUGAUGGGGACCUUCAAGGCCUGCGAAGCUGCCCUGGAACCCUGAACCUCAAGGCUGAGGAUGGAAUACUCCUGGGGAGGGCUUCCUCUGGGACCCGGGUGGUGGCAGAACAUCUUCCCAGAAACACAGACUUCUGAGUUCCAGUUCUAGCCAAAAGGGUGAACCAAGACCGGUCAUGCACCCUGGCUAGGACCCAACCCACACCAGCCGCUUCCUGCACCGCCACAGCCUUCUAUUUAUUUUUUUGGUCAGUGGUUGUUCCUAAGCAACCGCUUAGCAGAUCCUUCCUGCCUGUCAGCACUAGGGCCAAUAGGCGGGCGGCCGCAGCUCAUCGCCCCACCCCAGCCCCUGUCCGGAGCUCCAGAGCCCCAGCAGUCCACGCAGAAAUCCCAAGCACUCUGACCGGAAGUCACACCCCGAGACCCUUCUGUCUUUACCCGGCUGUAGCGCAGCACCAAGUGGCACAGCACCGGCCGCCGCGGUACACAGUGUGCUGGGAGGGAAGAAGGAACCAGAGAUAGUAACUAGGCGGCUCUGAGGAACUGUCAAAAUGCUGUUCCGGGUGGAUCCAAGUCGACUCCCUAGGGCUUACAGCACCUGAUCCUUUCCCAUCACCACAGCAUCACCCGGACGUGUUUGAUGGUUCUUGUGCCUCCAGCUCUGUGGCCAACGGCUGGGAUGUGUUUAUGUUCCUUUUUCAGAGGAAGAACACGAGGCUGGGUGAGAUGACUGCGUAUACAGUGAAGGAGCAGCAGACCUGAUGACAUCAUAGCUGCAGACGCCCCAUAGAGGAGUGGGAGAAAGGAGUUGGAGAGGAGACCUUGGUCCAGUCUUCCCAGCCCCCACAGAGGGGAGUGCCUGGUCUGUGGGACCAGCUGAUGCUCUGCUGCACUGAGGGACGGAUGCUGAGCGCUUCCAGACACUCGGGACACACAUAGCCCUACUGAGAAGACCUGACCACGAUGACUGCAGUUUUCUGCAGUCUGAAUCCUGUUUGCUUUGGAGCUGAAUGAGAAAUGCAGACUAAACGUCUGGCUGUUUUAAUCUUUGGGACACAGAACUCAUUUUGAUUAAAAUAUUGGACCUGAGAACUAAGACAGCUUUCCUCUUAGGAAAAAAAGACUCAAAAUAAAAAAUGACUAAAACCUUUCUUCACUUAAGAGGGGGGCAGCCUAAGGGUUUAACUGCGCAGAGACUGGAACUGGUAUUUGAUAACAGCAAUGUCACUGGAUUCUUACCCCUCAGGAAAGCUUUUCUUGUCUUUUGAUGAAUGUGGAUUCAAAAAAAAAAAAAAAACUGUGAUAUGUUUAAUUGUGGAUUCAUUGUUAAUUCCCACUCUAAAAUUAUGGUAUUGACCUGAUGAUGUUUGUAACUGCUUGUAAGAUGUUGAGAAUGGUUUGACAUACUCUGUAAAUGUUUAGAUUUAAUGCAUAUGUUAAAAAAUUUUAGAUUUUGCCGA